Molecule: ribosomal RNA, 405 nt
Filed under: uncultured bacterium
Lineage: Bacteria
Description: partial 16S ribosomal RNA
Rfam family: Bacterial small subunit ribosomal RNA
Source: RNAcentral
GACGAACGCUGGCGGCGUGCUUAACACAUGCAAGUCGAACGAGUGGCGAACGGGUGAGUAACACGUGGGUGAUCUGCCUUGCACCUCGGGAUAAGCUUGUGAAAAUGGGUCAAAUACCGGAUAGUGCAAGAUGAGCUCGCGGUUUAUCAGCUUGGCGGUGGGGUAAUGGUUACCAAGGCGCGACGGGUAGCCGGCCUGAGAGGGGGUACGGCCACAGUGGGACUGAGAUACGGCCCAGACUGCUACGGGGGGCAGCAGUGGGGAAUAUUGCACAAUGGGCGGAAGCCUGAUGCAGCGACGCCGCGUGGGGGAUGAAGGCCUUCGGGUUGUAAACGCCUUUCGACAGGGACGCGGUACCUGUAUAAGAAGCACCGGCUAACUACGUGCCAGCAGCCGCGGUAAUAC